AGAAAAUAUAAAGGAAAAUAUACCCUGUUUUAAUUCUCUGCUUUUGAUAUUAGCAAAUAAUUUGUGGAUUUUCACCAAAAAGUUUCGUGUCAAAGAUAAGAAAAUGUUGUGCAUGAUAACAGAUUUCAUUAAAAGCAAUAACUACGAAAUUAGGCAUACAGUAUGUACUUAUUAAUGCAGUAAAGAAAUUCAACAAAUUACAAUCUUUAAAAAAUUGUAACUGACAAAAAAUAUUCAUAUCAUUAUAAAAAAAUGCCAUUAAAUGUUUUACCAUAUCAGUAACGUACCAGAACUUAUUAAGUGUACUCUUCACUCAUCUUAAUGGCAACUUACCCUUUGUGUACAUUUUAUGUGUACAUUGUAUGUGUAAUAAAUUGUUAGUUAAAGAUUGAACGUAUUGUCACUUUUUAUCUUCACAA
RNAcentral lists this long non-coding RNA (419 nucleotides) under Mytilus galloprovincialis (Mediterranean mussel). Lineage: Eukaryota; Metazoa; Mollusca; Bivalvia; Mytilida; Mytilidae. The record is from RNAcentral.